This 238-nucleotide ribosomal RNA is filed under the name uncultured Lactobacillus sp. RNAcentral's name for it is "partial 16S ribosomal RNA". It matches the Rfam family "Bacterial small subunit ribosomal RNA", at positions 125 to 354 of the family's 1533-position model. Lineage: Bacteria; Bacillati; Bacillota; Bacilli; Lactobacillales; Lactobacillaceae. The record is from RNAcentral.
CCUGCCCAAGAGAUCGGGAUAACACCUGGAAACAGAUGCUAAUACCGGAUAACAACAGAUGAUGCCUAUCAACUGUUUAAAAGAUGGUUCUGCUAUCACUCUUGGAUGGACCUGCGGUGCAUUAGCUAGUUGGUAGGGUAACGGCCUACCAAGGCGAUGAUGCAUAGCCGAGUUGAGAGACUGAUCGGCCACAUUGGGACUGAGACACGGCCCAAACUCCUACGGGAGGCAGCAGAUC